Molecule: ribosomal RNA, 2923 nt
Filed under: Klebsiella pneumoniae
Lineage: Bacteria; Pseudomonadati; Pseudomonadota; Gammaproteobacteria; Enterobacterales; Enterobacteriaceae
Description: 23S ribosomal RNA
Rfam family: Bacterial large subunit ribosomal RNA
Source: RNAcentral
GGGUUGUGAGGUUAAGCGACUAAGCGUACACGGUGGAUGCCCUGGCAGUCAGAGGCGAUGAAGGACGUGCUAAUCUGCGAAAAGCGUCGGUAAGGUGAUAUGAACCGUUAUAGCCGGCGAUGUCCGAAUGGGGAAACCCAGUGCAAUUCGUUGCACUAUCGUUAACUGAAUACAUAGGUUAACGAGGCGAACCGGGGGAACUGAAACAUCUAAGUACCCCGAGGAAAAGAAAUCAACCGAGAUUCCCCCAGUAGCGGCGAGCGAACGGGGAGCAGCCCAGAGUCUGAAUCAGCUUGUGUGUUAGUGGAACGGUCUGGAAAGUCCGACGGUACAGGGUGAUAGUCCCGUACACCAAAAUGCACAGGCUGUGAACUCGAAGAGUAGGGCGGGACACGUGGUAUCCUGUCUGAAUAUGGGGGGACCAUCCUCCAAGGCUAAAUACUCCUGACUGACCGAUAGUGAACCAGUACCGUGAGGGAAAGGCGAAAAGAACCCCGGCGAGGGGAGUGAAAAAGAACCUGAAACCGUGUACGUACAAGCAGUGGGAGCACCUUCGGGUGUGACUGCGUACCUUUUGUAUAAUGGGUCAGCGACUUAUAUUCUGUAGCAAGGUUAACCGUAUAGGGGAGCCGCAGGGAAACCGAGUCUUAACUGGGCGUUAAGUUGCAGGGUAUAGACCCGAAACCCGGUGAUCUAGCCAUGGGCAGGUUGAAGGUUGGGUAACACUAACUGGAGGACCGAACCGACUAAUGUUGAAAAAUUAGCGGAUGACUUGUGGCUGGGGGUGAAAGGCCAAUCAAACCGGGAGAUAGCUGGUUCUCCCCGAAAGCUAUUUAGGUAGCGCCUCGUGAAUUCAUCUUCGGGGGUAGAGCACUGUUUCGGCUAGGGGGUCAUCCCGACUUACCAACCCGAUGCAAACUACGAAUACCGAAGAAUGUUAUCACGGGAGACACACGGCGGGUGCUAACGUCCGUCGUGAAGAGGGAAACAACCCAGACCGCCAGCUAAGGUCCCAAAGUCAUGGUUAAGUGGGAAACGAUGUGGGAAGGCACAGACAGCCAGGAUGUUGGCUUAGAAGCAGCCAUCAUUUAAAGAAAGCGUAAUAGCUCACUGGUCGAGUCGGCCUGCGCGGAAGAUGUAACGGGGCUAAACCAUGCACCGAAGCUGCGGCAGCGACACUAUGUGUUGUUGGGUAGGGGAGCGUUCUGUAAGCCUGCGAAGGUGUGCUGUGAGGCAUGCUGGAGGUAUCAGAAGUGCGAAUGCUGACAUAAGUAACGAUAAAGCGGGUGAAAAGCCCGCUCGCCGGAAGACCAAGGGUUCCUGUCCAACGUUAAUCGGGGCAGGGUGAGUCGACCCCUAAGGCGAGGCCGAAAGGCGUAGUCGAUGGGAAACAGGUUAAUAUUCCUGUACUUGGUGUUACUGCGAAGGGGGGACGGAGAAGGCUAUGUUAGCCGGGCGACGGUUGUCCCGGUUUAAGCAUGUAGGCUGGUUAUCCAGGCAAAUCCGGAUAAUCAAGGCUGAGGUGUGAUGACGAGGCACUACGGUGCUGAAGUAACAAAUGCCCUGCUUCCAGGAAAAGCCUCUAAGCAUCAGGUAACAUCAAAUCGUACCCCAAACCGACACAGGUGGUCAGGUAGAGAAUACCAAGGCGCUUGAGAGAACUCGGGUGAAGGAACUAGGCAAAAUGGUGCCGUAACUUCGGGAGAAGGCACGCUGGUGUGUAGGUGAAGCCCCUGCGGGUGGAGCUGAGACCAGUCGAAGAUACCAGCUGGCUGCAACUGUUUAUUAAAAACACAGCACUGUGCAAACACGAAAGUGGACGUAUACGGUGUGACGCCUGCCCGGUGCCGGAAGGUUAAUUGAUGGGGUUAUCCGUAAGGAGAAGCUCUUGAUCGAAGCCCCGGUAAACGGCGGCCGUAACUAUAACGGUCCUAAGGUAGCGAAAUUCCUUGUCGGGUAAGUUCCGACCUGCACGAAUGGCGUAAUGAUGGCCAGGCUGUCUCCACCCGAGACUCAGUGAAAUUGAACUCGCUGUGAAGAUGCAGUGUACCCGCGGCAAGACGGAAAGACCCCGUGAACCUUUACUAUAGCUUGACACUGAACAUUGAGCCUUGAUGUGUAGGAUAGGUGGGAGGCUUUGAAGCGUGGACGCCAGUCUGCGUGGAGCCAACCUUGAAAUACCACCCUUUAAUGUUUGAUGUUCUAACGUUGGCCCCUGACCGGGGUUGCGGACAGUGUCUGGUGGGUAGUUUGACUGGGGCGGUCUCCUCCUAAAGCGUAACGGAGGAGCACGAAGGUUAGCUAAUCCUGGUCGGACAUCAGGAGGUUAGUGCAAUGGCAUAAGCUAGCUUGACUGCGAGCGUGACGGCGCGAGCAGGUGCGAAAGCAGGUCAUAGUGAUCCGGUGGUUCUGAAUGGAAGGGCCAUCGCUCAACGGAUAAAAGGUACUCCGGGGAUAACAGGCUGAUACCGCCCAAGAGUUCAUAUCGACGGCGGUGUUUGGCACCUCGAUGUCGGCUCAUCACAUCCUGGGGCUGAAGUAGGUCCCAAGGGUAUGGCUGUUCGCCAUUUAAAGUGGUACGCGAGCUGGGUUUAGAACGUCGUGAGACAGUUCGGUCCCUAUCUGCCGUGGGCGCUGGAGAAUUGAGGGGGGCUGCUCCUAGUACGAGAGGACCGGAGUGGACGCAUCACUGGUGUUCGGGUUGUCAUGCCAAUGGCACUGCCCGGUAGCUAAAUGCGGAAGAGAUAAGUGCUGAAAGCAUCUAAGCACGAAACUUGCCCCGAGAUGAGUUCUCCCUGAGACUUUAAGUCUCCUGAAGGAACGUUAAAGACGAUGACGUUGAUAGGCCGGGUGUGUAAGCGCAGCGAUGCGUUGAGCUAACCGGUACUAAUGAACCGUGAGGCUUAACCUUACAACGCCGAAG